Molecule: long non-coding RNA, 631 nt
Filed under: Ananas comosus (pineapple)
Lineage: Eukaryota; Viridiplantae; Streptophyta; Magnoliopsida; Poales; Bromeliaceae
Description: long non-coding RNA (ACOM_LNC034638)
Source: RNAcentral
GAGAUUAAAUUUUACAAAGUGCCUUAAACAUCUAAAAUUCACAUUCAUCUUGAGUUAAAUUUAUAUUAAUUAUCGGUUUUACUCCACUUUUAUUAUUUNGUUCAACCGAACCCACAAGCAAACCAGAAUUCAAAGUUUCAUCGACAAUUCCAACCGAAGCCUCAAUCGACGAAAUGACCAACGGUUGAUCAAAAAUCAAAGCAAAUUGUGCUUAACGUCGACAAGACAAGACAAUGCAAAAUCCGACAAGUUUGGAUUCGGAAAGGUGAUAUCUUUCCUUGCCCUUCAUCUUAAUUUGUUUUGAUUGAUUAUGUAAUGCUUUGUUUGGUGCUUGUUGCAUAUUUUCUAUUCAUUGCAUUACAUGAUGAUUUUCGAGUAUGAAAUUUAUUUUUAAAAUUGAUUUGAGGAAAAGUGUUUGGGAUUUUAAUUUUUUUUGAAAAAGGAGACAAUUGAAAUUCUUUAUUUUGGGGAGAUUAGAAUUUUUCAAAGUGUUUUUAAUCGAAAUUCUUCUUGAAUUAAAUUCAUAUUAAUUAUCGGUUUUACUCCACUUUUUAUUAUUUUGACGAUAAUUUAAUAUAUGAUUUCUUAAUACAUAUAUUCAACAAAAUUUUGAAAUCAAAUUUGAUCUCUU